This 324-nucleotide unclassified non-coding RNA is filed under the name Hevea brasiliensis (rubber tree). Lineage: Eukaryota; Viridiplantae; Streptophyta; Magnoliopsida; Malpighiales; Euphorbiaceae. The record is from RNAcentral.
AAAACAAGAAGAUAUUGUGAGCUACUUGGGUCAAAUAGAAACUCUUAAAGACGAAUUCAACUCUCUCAUGCCACUUACAAUCCCUAAAACAAUGCAAAAAUUUUCCUUGGUCUUUGCUCUAAUAGGAUUGUGAUAAGAUCUUAAUUUAGUUCGAAAUCGAAUUCUGACUACUCCAAUUAUCCCCACUUUUGAGGAUGAUGUUUCUACCAGGCUCUUAUGCAUAUCCUUGACUAACAUCACUAAGGUAAUUUCUAAUGAAUCAAUUGUGUUGCAAGUUCAAUCUAAUAAUUAUCAAAAUCAAAUUGAGUAUUAGAAAGGGAAAUG